This is a long non-coding RNA of Mus musculus (house mouse), 1399 nucleotides long. RefSeq annotates it as antisense Igf2r RNA. NCBI's taxonomy places the organism in Eukaryota, Metazoa, Chordata, Mammalia, Rodentia, Muridae. The transcript is spliced from 3 exons. The record is from RefSeq and is marked validated.
AAUAAUCUCCACCCCCUGCCGAGGCUUCAACAUUAUAUCUAUCCCUCCUUGCUCUAGCGGGCAGCAAGAAGCACAGCACCGCCAGUUACCACGCAGACAUCCUGGGGAACUGAGGACAUUUCUUGAAGAGAUGUGAACAAAGGCCUGCUCGUCCAGAUAGUGUCCCGAGGACAAACCAAAGAAGUCAUCCCACCUAAGUCCAGCUUGGAGCCAGUGACUUUAUAGAAGGGUGACCUACAGGACCAUGGGUGACUCGGGACAGCUGUAUCAUCAAGCCACUCCACCAUGAAAGCUGCAUCCCUGGAUCUCACUGUGCAGCAUGCAGGUAACCCCUCUGCCCACCACCUACCAGAGGUAGUGGAAAAGAAAGGACAUGGGGGAAGUGGACCUGUUUAGAAGUGGUUCUUUGAAGCAGCUCUCAUCUGUGUUAUCAGGAAAUCGGCAGUUUGGUUUACAGGUCAGCAACAGCAGCUUGAUCCACUUGCAAACACUUCACAGAUACACCAGCAGUCCAGUUCGGGAGAGUCCGAAGAGCAAACAUGAAUCAGCAGUAGUGCCAUCACCUAACAGGGACAUCCAGGCCUCAGCCAGAUCAGCACAAGUCAGCAGGAGGGACCAGAACCAACAGGGACACCAGGAGUUCUUUGCUGUGCCUCUCUCAGUGAAGCAAAGAUCAUCAAAGAUGAGAGACCAAGAAGUAUUGCAGAGCUAGCUCUACAAGCAAGCCCCUCUCAGUCCUAUUUACACUCCCUCCAAAAAUCACGUGCUCUCCACAGCUCUUGCCUCAGCAUGUGAGUCUGUCUUAGCAAAACUCCACGAGUCUAUAUCAGCUGACAUCACUCUGCCAGUUGACCCAAGUCCUCAGAAGCUGCAAGAAGCCGCAGCAUACUACCAGAAGGUUUUUUUGGUGUAUUUCGAUUUCUGGAGUCCUGACAAAUGGCGCUCAACUACACAAUUUAAGGCAGACCAAUACUUGUGUGUUGUUAAUGAAGAAUCCGUCACCAUGUGUCCUUUCACGUGCUUGCUUUAGCAGAAAAUCCUUUCACGCGUGUCUGCUUCAGUGAAACAUUCCUUCACAAGUCUGCCUUAGCAAAACAUCCUUUCACCUGUGUCCACUUCAGGGAAAAACUCCUUCAUGUGUUUGUCCCAGCAAAACACCAUCCAACACAACUGACUUUCCAAAGAACCCUUCAACCUAAAAAAAAAAGAAGAAGACUCGGAAACCACCUUAGAAAUGCAUCUCACAAAAUACCUGCCAGGCCAUUAGAAAACUACAGAAAGAUUUUAAACACAUGUCUGAAAAUACCCUAAAUAUCCUAAAGACACACUUCUUUCCCCAGAAGUAAUCUAUAUAUGUAAUAUGAUUCCAAAUAAAAUUUCAACAGGGUCUUAAAAAAAU